This 506-nucleotide long non-coding RNA is filed under the name Trifolium pratense (red clover). Its description in RNAcentral is "long non-coding RNA (TPRA_LNC011397)". Lineage: Eukaryota; Viridiplantae; Streptophyta; Magnoliopsida; Fabales; Fabaceae. The record is from RNAcentral.
CAGAGAAUAAUCAACUUCAUCAUGUAGAUUUCGAAAACACCAAUCCAGCCAAUAAGGUUUUGAUUUAUGAAGAACAUGACGACUACCAGCAAGCACAAUGCUUUCCAUCAGUACAUUAUCACUCCCUGAAUACACUUCACAUUCUGCAGAUUUUGAAUUAAUAUAAUACAAACGGUUGCUUUCAUAUCCCCACUCACCAGGGUUCGCCAGUGCAUAGCAUUUGAAAGGAGAAUAAAAUAAUGCAAGUUCACCCAAACUUUCCAACUUGACAUAACUCAUAGUAGCGAAGUCUAUCCUGUAGACAUCCAAUACUCUCUUCGGUACAAAGCGGACCACAAGAAGCUUCCCAUCACAAUGAAGUAACUUAAACAAACGAGGAGUUACAUCGGGGGUAUUUUUCAGUUCUAGCAAUUUCAAACUUGUAGAGUUUAGGCUAAGUACACCUAUCUCAACCUUGUCGGUGAGAGCAUAAAUAAUAUUAUCCAAAACUACAAAGUCCACAACCU